Molecule: long non-coding RNA, 267 nt
Organism: Maylandia zebra (zebra mbuna)
Lineage: Eukaryota; Metazoa; Chordata; Actinopteri; Cichliformes; Cichlidae
Source: RefSeq, a predicted model, not a curated record
AUUGCUUUGCAGCAGAUCGCACAUUAUUGAAGUUUGUGUGUGUGUGUGUCUGUAUCCCCUAAGCUAAAUUCAGGUGUCAGCAGUUAAAAGCUUCUGGGGAGUUUUUUGGUUGUAAAAUCCUAAAACUCAGCUACCAAAAUAGUGACAAAGAAAGCUAGGCUGGAGCCAAGACUUUUGGGAAUCACCCUAUCCAUGGAGAAACACUGGAGCCACACAGGAAAGUCAGCAGAUAAUUUUCCAGCAACCCCUCAGGUGUGUGUGUGGUGU